GUACAAUGUCCUACAUCGCUUAGAA
Molecule: non-coding RNA, 25 nt
Filed under: Arabidopsis thaliana (thale cress)
Lineage: Eukaryota; Viridiplantae; Streptophyta; Magnoliopsida; Brassicales; Brassicaceae
Source: RNAcentral